This is a long non-coding RNA of Eubalaena glacialis (North Atlantic right whale), 1063 nucleotides long. RefSeq lists it as uncharacterized. NCBI's taxonomy places the organism in Eukaryota, Metazoa, Chordata, Mammalia, Artiodactyla, Balaenidae. The record is from RefSeq and is a predicted model, not a curated record. The transcript has 2 exons.
GGCGGGGGGGUGAGGCCAGCAGCCUGGUAGAGCGCUGAGAAGGAGGCAGCGUCGAGGCUCCUGCGCGGGAUAAGCCGAGGUUGCCACCGCAGGCCUGGCACGACCAGGGCCCGGAUGCCCCGCCCGGCCCGGCCCCCGCGCGCACAGGUACCUGAGACGAUUUCAACUGAAGUAAUGAAGGCAGUGUCGUGCUGUCGAGAGAAAGGUGGAUCCCAACAACAGGAAACUACCUAAAUCACCGACCAGUUCUGGUGCUGCCCGCGCGGAGCUGCCUCGCCCGCCGCCGCCGCCGUUACUGCCGCCGCCGCCGCCAAAGGAGAACCCUGUGAUCGCGCCCGGCCCCUCGCCAACCUGCGCCCGCCGCUGUCACUGUGUGUCCCGGGCUGCCGCUAAGGCAUCACGGAGGGAGAAGCCACCGGCCCCGUUUUGCCAAUCAGCCAAAGUCAAGCCCUUUUGCCAACCUGCGUGUCCAUGCCUGCAAGCCCUUCUCUUUGCCAAGGAAGAAAGGAAGAAAGAAAAAAGAAACCCAGGGGCCUGUAUCCCCUGAUUAAACACAGCCCAGCACUCCAGGCAGGCAAGCCCGGUGGCGGCUCCUUGCACCAUUGACCUCAGGCCAGACACCUCAGCUGCCUACAAUGCGACCUCCGCCUUCUGGCUAGGUUUGCCGGCCCUGCAGGAAACCAGCUCCACCGGGAGGACAGAGGCCACUUCAAGCAGUGGAACCCCGAGACAGCAAACCAGCCCUGUCACCGCUUUACAUUUAGGACAAUAUCUCUCUAUAUAGAAUUUUAGCGCUAUAUGGCUUUUCCCCCCAGAAAACAACAAAUAAACCAGCACCAAGCAAACAGAAAAAGAAACAAAAAGUCAGAACAAACCAGCCCUGCACAGAUGUAACGGCCAGCGAGAUGGUGAAUGUGGGAGGGAGGAAUGGGGCUCCGGCACAGGUGCAAGUUCCUGGGCAGAGCCGAAGACAGAGGGAGCAGAACGGCUCUCUGGAAGCGAAAAGAACCACAUUGCCUGGAGCUUCAUCAGGAAAAAUUAAAGUUGGCUGUGAGCUCCCGGA